Molecule: transfer RNA, 71 nt
Filed under: Fimbriiglobus ruber
Lineage: Bacteria; Pseudomonadati; Planctomycetota; Planctomycetia; Gemmatales; Gemmataceae
Rfam family: tRNA
About the family: Transfer RNA (tRNA) molecules are approximately 80 nucleotides in length. Their secondary structure includes four short double-helical elements and three loops (D, anti-codon, and T loops).
Source: Rfam by way of RNAcentral
GCACCUGUGUUGUAACGGUAGCCUCCCGUCUUGGUAAGACGGUCGCGUGGGUUCGACUCCCGCCUGGUGUU